This 1181-nucleotide ribosomal RNA is filed under the name Limosilactobacillus fermentum. Its description in RNAcentral is "bacterial SSU rRNA". It matches the Rfam family "Bacterial small subunit ribosomal RNA", at positions 1 to 1153 of the family's 1533-position model. The record is from RNAcentral. Lineage: Bacteria; Bacillati; Bacillota; Bacilli; Lactobacillales; Lactobacillaceae.
UGUAUAGUACAGCUAGAGUUAGAUCUGACUCAGUAGUCGUAACAAGGUGAACCGCGUAGAGUUUCGUGCUUGAUCCCAGGACGCCUAAAAAUGGCGCCCGGGUGAGUAACACGUAGGUAACCUGCCCAGAAGCGGGGGACAACAUUUGGAAACAGAUGCUAAUACCGCAUAACAACGUUGUUCGCAUGAACAACGCUUAAAAGAUGGCUUCUCGCUAUCACUUCUGGAUGGACCUGCGGUGCAUUAGCUUGUUGGUGGGGUAACGGCCUACCAAGGCGAUGAUGCAUAGCCGAGUUGAGAGACUGAUCGGCCACAAUGGGACUGAGACACGGCCCAUACUCCUACGGGAGGCAGCAGUAGGGAAUCUUCCACAAUGGGCGCAAGCCUGAUGGAGCAACACCGCGUGAGUGAAGAAGGGUUUCGGCUCGUAAAGCUCUGUUGUUAAAGAAGAACACGUAUGAGAGUAACUGUUCAUACGUUGACGGUAUUUAACCAGAAAGUCACGGCUAACUACGUGCCAGCAGCCGCGGUAAUACGUAGGUGGCAAGCGUUAUCCGGAUUUAUUGGGCGUAAAGAGAGUGCAGGCGGUUUUCUAAGUCUGAUGUGAAAGCCUUCGGCUUAACCGGAGAAGUGCAUCGGAAACUGGAUAACUUGAGUGCAGAAGAGGGUAGUGGAACUCCAUGUGUAGCGGUGGAAUGCGUAGAUAUAUGGAAGAACACCAGUGGCGAAGGCGGCUACCUGGUCUGCAACUGACGCUGAGACUCGAAAGCAUGGGGUAGCGAAACAGGAUUAGAUACCCUGGGUAGUCCAUGCCGUAAACGAUGAGUGCUAGGUGUUGGAGGGUUUCCGCCCUUCAGUGCCGGAGCUAACGCAUUAAGCACUCCGCCUGGGGGAGUACGACCGCAAGUUGAAACUCAAAGGAAUUGACGGGGGGCCGGCACAAGCGGUGGAGCAUGGUGGUUUAAUUCGAAGCCUACGCGAAGACCCUUUACCAGGUCUUGACAUCUUGCGCCUACCUCUAAGAGAAUAGGGGCGUUUUCCUUCGGGAAACGCAAUUGACAAGUGGGUGCAAUGUCGUCGUCAGCCUCGGGUCCGGAAGAAUGUUGGGCUAAGUCCCGCAACAGACGCACCUUGUGUACUAGUUGCCAGCAUUUAAGUUGGGCACUCUCUAGAUGAGAACU